This 372-nucleotide ribosomal RNA is filed under the name uncultured bacterium. RNAcentral's name for it is "bacterial SSU rRNA". It matches the Rfam family "Bacterial small subunit ribosomal RNA", at positions 527 to 896 of the family's 1533-position model. The record is from RNAcentral.
GUAGGGUACGAGCGUUGUCCGGAAUUAUUGGGCGUAAAGAGCUCUUAGGUGGUUGGUCACGUCUGCUGUGGAAACGCAACGCUUAACGUUGCGCGUGCAGUGGGUACGGGCUGACUAGAGUGCAGUAGGGGAGUCUGGAAUUCCUGGUGUAGCGGUGAAAUGCGCAGAUAUCAGGAGGAACACCGGUGGCGAAGGCGGGACUCUGGGCUGUAACUGACACUGAGGAGCGAAAGCAUGGGGAGCGAACAGGAUUAGAUACCCUGGUAGUCCAUGCCGUAAACGUUGGGCACUAGGUGUGGGGGGCAUUCCACGUUCUCCGCGCCGUAGCUAACGCAUUAAGUGCCCCGCCUGGGGAGUACGGUCGCAAGGCUA